RNAcentral lists this ribosomal RNA (491 nucleotides) under Beauveria sp. OR2S2. Its description in RNAcentral is "eukaryotic LSU rRNA". The stretch from base 168 to 321 matches the Rfam family "5.8S ribosomal RNA". Lineage: Eukaryota; Fungi; Ascomycota; Sordariomycetes; Hypocreales; Cordycipitaceae. The record is from RNAcentral.
CAUUACCGAGUUUUCAACUCCCUAACCCUUCUGUGAACCUACCUAUCGUUGCUUCGGCGGACUCGCCCCAGCCCGGACGCGGACUGGACCAGCGGCCCGCCGGGGACCUCAAACUCUUGUAUUCCAGCAUCUUCUGAAUACGCCGCAAGGCAAAACAAAUGAAUCAAAACUUUCAACAACGGAUCUCUUGGCUCUGGCAUCGAUGAAGAACGCAGCGAAACGCGAUAAGUAAUGUGAAUUGCAGAAUCCAGUGAAUCAUCGAAUCUUUGAACGCACAUUGCGCCCGCCAGCAUUCUGGCGGGCAUGCCUGUUCGAGCGUCAUUUCAACCCUCGACCUCCCCUUGGGGGGGUCGGCGUUGGGGACCGGCAGCACACCGCCGGCCCUGAAAUGGAGUGGCGGCCCGUCCGCGGCGACCUCUGCGCAGUAAUACAGCUCGCACCGGAACCCCGACGCGGCCACGCCGUAAAACACCCAACUUCUGAACGUUGAC